This is a regulatory RNA element of Oceanicoccus sagamiensis, 123 nucleotides long. The record is from Rfam. Lineage: Bacteria; Pseudomonadati; Pseudomonadota; Gammaproteobacteria; Cellvibrionales; Spongiibacteraceae.
GACGCUAGAGCUUAGGUGGGUAGAAGGUUCCGGGGCCGUCGUUGGCAGGGAUGCCAACGAAGAGCGGCCAUGGAUGGCGAAAAGCGUGCCCCGGAACCUUCUACCCACCUAAGCUCGUUCCCA